RNAcentral lists this transfer RNA (48 nucleotides) under Allocasuarina humilis. RNAcentral describes it as "partial tRNA-Gln". Lineage: Eukaryota; Viridiplantae; Streptophyta; Magnoliopsida; Fagales; Casuarinaceae. The record is from RNAcentral.
CUGGGACGGAAGGAUUCGAACCUCCGAAUACCGGGACCAAAACCCGUU